AGGAAUUCUCCUGCCUCAUCCUCCACGUAGCUGGGAUUACAGAUAAACUCAGAUCCCUCUACUUUCCAAGUGUGAGAAGAUUUUGUUCUACAGUCGCUUCUGUGAGAUCACCACAGCCCUGGCAAACCAAGAGGGAGGAACCUUGUGCCUUUGAAGUGUGAUUCACAGUGCUUGAUAAAGUGCCAGUAUUCUCUAAAUUUUAGGUUCACAGCAAAUUGGAUGGAAGUUACAGAAAUUCUUCUAUUUUUAAUUUUAAACUAACAUACGACAAAAGGAUUUCCUGAUUUAUCCACCAUUUCAAAAAAAGGUCCGAAGAAAAUGAAGGAGCCUCUUCCUGUACUCAUGGUACAUAAGCAAAGUAAAUCAUUGCUUGACCCUCAGCCCACAUGGGAAAACCACCCCUAACAUUACAACAGCAGUAACAACAACAAACAUCUACGUGAGCUUUCUACAGCCUCUGAUGACUUAUGUAAGUGAGUAGAUGAGCUUGCUUUUUAUCUGCCUGUUCCAGAUGCAGAUUUCACUGAACGAUGAUUGAAGGGGAAAUUCCAAGAGAAGGCCCCUGCACAGCCCAUGGCCUCCUGGAGUCUAUCUCAUAUAUCACAAAGGUGGAGAGUUAAAGAGGACACAAUGGAACAUCUAAUGUGCUCUUUUCCUCGUGGUAUUUUGAUGUCUAUGGGAAAAGAAUUAUGAGGGAUUGCCCAUUUAAACUAGCGCACGCCAGGUCUCUCGGGGUUGGCAUUCAGUUUGGGCAGUGAAGCACAUUCUCAGUUUCAUGCAGCUGGCUUGGGAGUGGCAGACACAUUUCCACUAUUCUGGGCCUGGUUCAGAGAGGAAGAUCACUGGUUACUGUCUGUGGCUGCAGUAGCUUAGGGAGCCAAUGAAGACGGGGUGAGGGGCUGAGGCAGAAUGCAAUUCAGUGAGCUGAAAAUUCACCAGAACACUAAGGCUCAUAUUCGAAAAAAAAGAACCAUGUACAACCACUUCUGACUCCUGCAACCACUUCUGACCCUGACCUUUCAUUUUCUAGAUCUUAAAAAAAUAAAGUAGCACCUGCGGGAUGCUCAGUCUUGAGUGACUUCAAUAAACCCAAGCUGUCGGCUGAAGGGCAAGAAUCAUAUAUUUGUGAUUAGAAUCAAUGAGCAGCAAGGCUUGUACACAAACUGGCAAUACUUUGAUGGCAAAUCCUUCCUUUUCAGAUAUUUUUGAAAGGCUAAUUUACUUAUAAAUUUUAAUUUCCCCCAGAUUAGUGGUCAUGUCAGCACUUAAAAUGCUGGCAGGGGGAUAAAUCAGUAUCAUGUUUGUCUUUAAAAUGGGAGACAUAGGACACCUGGCCUCUGUUAAUACAGGGACACUGUACAAGAGUAAACUACGGCACAAUACAGUUCUUAUUCUGAAUUGGAAUCCAUCUGUACUCUACAGUGGGAAGACAAAAGGGGAUUGUUAGCACUUAAGGCACCUUGACACAGUUGGACCGUUUGACUCUUUUAUUAAUUGCCCCAUCUGCUAAGUGAGAGCUCUCUGACACAGGUUGGCGCAGAACUCUUAAAGCCCUUAGUCUGCUUCCUAUUGGUUCCACAUGUGUUUGUAUUUGUUCUCAGUAGGCAGAGAUUCCAGAGAGAAAAUGAACCGCUGCAGAUCGAUUGCAGUAUCAGUCAUGCAGAAGACAUGGUGAAGUGUGCCAUUUGAUUUUGAUCUAGUUUUAACCCUUGGGAGAU
RNAcentral lists this long non-coding RNA (1718 nucleotides) under Homo sapiens (human). Its description in RNAcentral is "HSALNT0351196". The record is from RNAcentral. Lineage: Eukaryota; Metazoa; Chordata; Mammalia; Primates; Hominidae.